AUGUUAAGUUCAGAGAUUAACAAGAAGAUUUACAAGAUUGGUCAAGGCUACCUCAUCAAGGAUGGUAAACUGAUCAAGAACAAUGCAUCUACUGACUAUGACCUGUCUGACAAGACCAUCAACCCACUGGGUGGCUUUGUCCAUUAUGGUGAGGUGACCAAUGACUUCAUCAUGCUCAAAGGCUGCGUGGUGGGAACCAAGAAGCGAGUGCUCACUCAUCGUAAGUCCUUGUUGGUCCAGACCAAACGUCGGGCACUGGAGAAGAUUGACCUGAAAUUCAUUGACACCACCUCCAAGUUUGGCCAUGGUCACUUCCAGACCAUGGAGGAGAAGAAAGCCUUCAUGGGACCACUCAAGAAAGAUCGCAUUGCCAAGGAGGAGGGUGCGUGAUUCUACGAUCACUUUGCACAGCUGGUUCUGGUGGUCUCAUCAAUAAAAUAUUUCCAGUAAAAAAAAAAAAAA
Molecule: RNA transcript, 462 nt
Organism: Mastomys coucha (southern multimammate mouse)
Lineage: Eukaryota; Metazoa; Chordata; Mammalia; Rodentia; Muridae
Gene name: 60S ribosomal protein L3 pseudogene
Exons: 1
Source: RefSeq, a predicted model, not a curated record